GGCGACUUAGCAAAGCGGUUAUGCAGCGGAUUGCAAAUUCGUGUAGUCCGGUUCGACUCCGGAAGUCGCCUCCA
This 74-nucleotide transfer RNA is filed under the name Anaerobiospirillum succiniciproducens. RNAcentral describes it as "tRNA-Cys". It matches the Rfam family "tRNA". Rfam says of the family: Transfer RNA (tRNA) molecules are approximately 80 nucleotides in length. Their secondary structure includes four short double-helical elements and three loops (D, anti-codon, and T loops). Lineage: Bacteria; Pseudomonadati; Pseudomonadota; Gammaproteobacteria; Aeromonadales; Succinivibrionaceae. The record is from RNAcentral.